Molecule: small nuclear RNA, 22 nt
Filed under: Arabidopsis thaliana (thale cress)
Lineage: Eukaryota; Viridiplantae; Streptophyta; Magnoliopsida; Brassicales; Brassicaceae
Description: snRNA_14270
Source: RNAcentral
AGUCUUUCUCAACAUUGAGACU